AACGCUGGCGGCAGGCCUCAUACAUGCAAGUCGAGCGGUCCUUCGGGACAGCGGCGAACGGGUUAGUAACGCGUGGGAACGUGCCCUUUAGUACGGAAUAGCCAUUGGAAACGAUGAUUAAUACCGUAUACGCCCCAAGGGGGAAAGAUUUAUCGCUAAAGGAUCGGCCCGCGUUAGAUUAGGUAGUUGGUAGGGUAAUGGCCUACCAAGCCGACGAUCUAUAGCUGGUUUGAGAGGAUGAUCAGCAACACUGGGACUGAGACACGGCCCAGACUUCUACGGAAGGCAGCAGUAGGGAAUCUUGGACAAUGGGCGAAAGCCUGAUCCAGCCAUGCCGCGUGAGUGAUGAAGGCCCUAGGGUUGUAAAGCUCUUUCGCCAGGGAAGAUAAUGACGGUACCUGGUAAAGAAACCCCGGC
This 417-nucleotide ribosomal RNA is filed under the name uncultured Alphaproteobacteria bacterium. Its description in RNAcentral is "bacterial SSU rRNA". It matches the Rfam family "Bacterial small subunit ribosomal RNA", at positions 32 to 497 of the family's 1533-position model. The record is from RNAcentral. Lineage: Bacteria; Pseudomonadati; Pseudomonadota; Alphaproteobacteria.